This 137-nucleotide ribosomal RNA is filed under the name Pseudomonadota bacterium. RNAcentral's name for it is "Proteobacteria bacterium (marine metagenome) partial 16S ribosomal RNA". It matches the Rfam family "Bacterial small subunit ribosomal RNA", at positions 1 to 115 of the family's 1533-position model. Lineage: Bacteria; Pseudomonadati; Pseudomonadota. The record is from RNAcentral.
UUGAACUGGAGAGUUUGAUCCUGGCUCAGAUUGAACGCUGGCGGUAGGCCUAACACAUGCAAGUCGAACGGUAACGGACCGCUGGGAUUCCUUCGGGAUGACCUUGGUGCCGACGAGUGGCGGACGGGUGAGUAACA